UCCGGCGUGGGGUAAUUGGCAGCCCGCGGUCUUUUGGUGUCCGUUGUUCAGGUUCGAGUCCUGACGCCGGAGC
Molecule: transfer RNA, 73 nt
Filed under: Sphaerimonospora thailandensis
Lineage: Bacteria; Bacillati; Actinomycetota; Actinomycetes; Streptosporangiales; Streptosporangiaceae
Description: tRNA-Gln
Rfam family: tRNA
About the family: Transfer RNA (tRNA) molecules are approximately 80 nucleotides in length. Their secondary structure includes four short double-helical elements and three loops (D, anti-codon, and T loops). Further hydrogen bonds mediate the characteristic L-shaped molecular structure. tRNAs have two regions of fundamental functional importance: the anti-codon, which is responsible for specific mRNA codon recognition, and the 3' end, to which the tRNAs corresponding amino acid is attached (by aminoacyl-tRNA synthetases). tRNAs cope with the degeneracy of the genetic code in two manners: having more than one tRNA (with a specific anti-codon) for a particular amino acid; and 'wobble' base-pairing, i.e. permitting non-standard base-pairing at the 3rd anti-codon position.
Source: RNAcentral